This 468-nucleotide ribosomal RNA is filed under the name uncultured bacterium. RNAcentral describes it as "partial 16S ribosomal RNA". It matches the Rfam family "Bacterial small subunit ribosomal RNA", at positions 28 to 507 of the family's 1533-position model. The record is from RNAcentral.
GACGAACGCUGGCGGCGUGCUUAACACAUGCGAGUCGAACGGAAAGGCCCUGCUUUUGUGGGGUGCUCGAGUGGCGAACGGGUGAGUAACACGUGAGUAACCUGCCCUUGACUUUGGGAUAACUUCAGGAAACUGGGGCUAAUACCGGAUAGGAGCUCCUGCUGCAUGGUGGGGGUUGGAAAGUUUCGGCGGUUGGGGAUGGACUCGCGCCUUAUCAGCUUGUUGGUUGGGUAGUGGCUUACCAAGGCUUUGACGGGUAGCCGGCCUGAGAGGGUGACCGGCCACAUUGGGACGGAGAUACGGCCCAGACUCCUACGGGAGGCAGCAGUGGGGAAUAUUGCACAAUGGGCGGAAGCCUGAUGCAGCAACGCCGCGUGCGGGAUGACGGCCUUCGGGUUGUAAACCGCUUUCGCCUGUGACGAAGCGUGAGUGACGGUAAUGGGUAAAGAAGCACCGGCUAACUACGUG